GACGAACGCUGGCGGCGUGCUUAACACAUGCAAGUCGAACGGAAAGGCCCUGCUUUUGUGGGGUGCUCGAGUGGCGAACGGGUGAGUAACACGUGAGUAACCUGCCCUUGACUUUGGGAUAACUUCAGGAAACUGGGGCUAAUACCGGAUAGGAGCUCCUGCUGCAUGGUGGGGGUUGGAAAGUUUCGGCGGUUGGGGAUGGACUCGCGGCUUAUCAGCUUGUUGGUGGGGUAGUGGCUUACCAAGGCUUUGACGGGUAGCCGGCCUGAGAGGGUGACCGGCCACAUUGGGACUGAGAUACGGCCCAGACUCCUACGGGAGGCAGCAGUGGGGAAUAUUGCACAAUGGGCGGAAGCCUGAUGCAGCAACGCCGCGUGCGGGAUGACGGCCUUCGGGUUGUAGACCGCUUUCGCCUGUGACGAAGCGUGAGUGACGGUAAUGGGUAAAGAAGCACCGGCGAACUACGU
Molecule: ribosomal RNA, 467 nt
Filed under: uncultured bacterium
Lineage: Bacteria
Description: partial 16S ribosomal RNA
Rfam family: Bacterial small subunit ribosomal RNA
Source: RNAcentral